RNAcentral lists this RNase P RNA (403 nucleotides) under Streptomyces violaceusniger. Its description in RNAcentral is "RNase P RNA component class A". It matches the Rfam family "Bacterial RNase P class A". Rfam says of the family: Ribonuclease P (RNase P) is a ubiquitous endoribonuclease, found in archaea, bacteria and eukarya as well as chloroplasts and mitochondria. Its best characterised activity is the generation of mature 5'-ends of tRNAs by cleaving the 5'-leader elements of precursor-tRNAs. The record is from RNAcentral. Lineage: Bacteria; Bacillati; Actinomycetota; Actinomycetes; Kitasatosporales; Streptomycetaceae. RNAcentral also lists the same sequence under 2 other names.
CGAGUCGGCCGGGCGGUCGCGUCGGGGUCCUUCGGAUCCCGCCGAGGAACGUCCGGGCUCCACACGGCAAGGUGGUGGGUAACGCCCACCCGGGGUGACCCGCGGGACAGUGCCACAGAAAACAGACCGCCGGGGGCUUCGGUCCCCGGUAAGGGUGAAACGGUGGUGUAAGAGACCACCAGCGUCCGAGGUGACUCGGAUGGCUCGGUAAACCCCACCUGGAGCAAGGUCAAGAGGAGCCGCCUCACGGCGGCUCUGCGCGGACGAUCGAGGGCUGCCCGCCCGAGUCCGCGGGUAGACCGCACGAGACCGGCGGCAACGCCGGUCCUAGAUGGAUGGCCGCCUCCCCAUGGGCCGCAAGACCCACGGGAGACAGAACCCGGCGUACAGGCCGACUCGUCCG